AAAGCUCAUUUGGGUUGGAAGUUGGUCGGAGCUAUUUCACACUAUUCAUCGGCUAUUUCAGUACUUUCAGUAAAUUAAUUUCGGUUAUAAUAGCAUGUAUAAGAUAUUUUGGCCAAUGUUGGUAUAUAAAUGUUUUGUUGAGACAAGCCAUUUGAAUGGCUUGUGUUUGAUAUAUUUUGAUGUGUUUAUAUAUGUGGCCUUAACAUAUUUAAUGUGUGUUUGAUAUGGUUGAAUGAUGGAAAACUUAUAG
Molecule: long non-coding RNA, 250 nt
Filed under: Gossypium barbadense (sea-island cotton)
Lineage: Eukaryota; Viridiplantae; Streptophyta; Magnoliopsida; Malvales; Malvaceae
Description: long non-coding RNA (GBAR_LNC014506)
Source: RNAcentral